CCUACGGGUGGCAGCAGUGAGGAAUAUUGGUCAAUGGGCGCGAGCCUGAACCAGCCAAGUCGCGUGAAGGAUGACUGCCCUACGGGUUGUAAACUUCUUUUGUAAAGGAAUAAAGUGAGGCACGUGUGCCUUUUUGUAUUUACUUUAUGAAUAAGGAUCGGCUCACCUCGUGCCAGCAGCCGCGGUAAUACGGAGGAUCCGAGCGUUAUCCGGAUUUAUUGGGUUUAAAGGGAGCGUAGAUGGGUGGUUAAGUCAGUUGUGAAAGUUUGGGGCUUAACCGUAAAAUUGCAAUUGAUACUGGCAGCCUUGAGUACAGUUGAGGUAGGCGGAAUGCGUGGUGUAGCGGUGAAAUGCGUAGAUAUCACGAAGAACUCCGAUGGCGAAGGCAGCCUACUAAACUGCCACUGACAUUGAUGCGCGAAAGUGUGGGUAUCAAACAGGAUUAGAUACCCUUGUAGUC
RNAcentral lists this ribosomal RNA (460 nucleotides) under uncultured bacterium. RNAcentral's name for it is "partial 16S ribosomal RNA". It matches the Rfam family "Bacterial small subunit ribosomal RNA", at positions 338 to 795 of the family's 1533-position model. The record is from RNAcentral.